This 497-nucleotide ribosomal RNA is filed under the name uncultured bacterium. RNAcentral describes it as "partial 16S ribosomal RNA". It matches the Rfam family "Bacterial small subunit ribosomal RNA", at positions 28 to 507 of the family's 1533-position model. The record is from RNAcentral.
GAUGAACGCUGGCGGCGUGCCUAAUACAUGCAAGUCGAGCGAACAGACGAGGAGCUUGCUCCUCUGACGUUAGCGGCGGACGGGUGAGUAACACGUGGAUAACCUACCUAUAAGACUGGGAUAACUUCGGGUAACCGGAGCUAAUACCGGAUAAUAUAUUGAACCGCAUGGUUCAAUAGUGAAAGACGGUUUUGCUGUCACUUAUAGAUGGAUCCGCGCCGCAUUAGCUAGUUGGUAAGGUAACGGCUUACCAAGGCAACGAUGCGUAGCCGACCUAAGAGGGUGAUCGGCCACACUGGAACUGAGACACGGUCCAGACUCCUACGGGAGGCAGCAGUAGGGAAUCUUCCGCAAAGGGCGAAAGCCUGACGGAGCAACGCCGCGUGAGUGAUGAAGGUCUUCGGAUCGUAAAACUCUGUUAUUAGGGAAGAACAAAUGUGUAAGUAACUAUGCACGUCUUGACGGUACCUAAUCAGAAAGCCACGGCUAACUACGUG